GGAGUUGUGGCUCAGUGGUAGAGCACUUACCUGGCAUGGUGAGGCCCUGAGUUCAAUCCUCAGCACCCCA
RNAcentral lists this transfer RNA (70 nucleotides) under Marmota monax (woodchuck). It matches the Rfam family "tRNA". Rfam says of the family: Transfer RNA (tRNA) molecules are approximately 80 nucleotides in length. Their secondary structure includes four short double-helical elements and three loops (D, anti-codon, and T loops). Further hydrogen bonds mediate the characteristic L-shaped molecular structure. tRNAs have two regions of fundamental functional importance: the anti-codon, which is responsible for specific mRNA codon recognition, and the 3' end, to which the tRNAs corresponding amino acid is attached (by aminoacyl-tRNA synthetases). tRNAs cope with the degeneracy of the genetic code in two manners: having more than one tRNA (with a specific anti-codon) for a particular amino acid; and 'wobble' base-pairing, i.e. permitting non-standard base-pairing at the 3rd anti-codon position. Lineage: Eukaryota; Metazoa; Chordata; Mammalia; Rodentia; Sciuridae. The record is from Rfam by way of RNAcentral.